RNAcentral lists this long non-coding RNA (903 nucleotides) under Mus caroli (Ryukyu mouse). RNAcentral's name for it is "lncRNA (MGP_CAROLIEiJ_G0006602.1)". The record is from RNAcentral. Lineage: Eukaryota; Metazoa; Chordata; Mammalia; Rodentia; Muridae.
CGCGCGCUCCCGUGGCUCGGCCGGUCGCCACUGGGCGGCCGCCGCCCGCGUCUGGAUGCGCAUCCGGGACCCCGCGGGGGAGCGCGCGCCCACGGCCCGGCUGGUCGCUCCAGUGAGACAGCCGUCGCGUCAGGCUGCCAGACUUGGACCCCUCGGGGAGCGCGCGCGGGCCACCGAGAGCUCCACUGCUGAAGUCGGAACCCCUACCCCCGGACUGCCACAGAGCGGUGAGCUCUUUGGCAGAUGGGAGGGACUGAUCACAGUCCUGAGACGCCCCGAAGCGCAGUCCCCUUUGAGAUGUUAUGAAGAAUGUGCUAACGGAGCCAGACACUAAGACUGCUCUAUUGAAAUCAUCUAGUAUAUUGUAUCCAUUUGUCUUCUAUGGAUAUACAAUUCAAAAAGAUCAAAGGUCCUUGCCGUUAUAAUUUAAGGAUCUGAGAUGAGCUCAUCUAGGUAGUCCUCAAAGCCAAGGGCAAGCAUCUUUAUGACAGAGAUGGAGACAAGGAUGAAGGAAAAGGACGUGUGCAGAUGGAAUCCAAGACUGUAGUUAUGUUACCACAAAGCAGAGAACACUUGAAGUCACCAGAAGCUGACCCAGUCUCAGCAUGAUUUUUGUAAGGGGCAUACUUAAACCAUAACAGAGAAAGCAAUAUGACCAUGGAAAUGGAAAAGGUGGAGACUGGAAUGACUCCAUAUCAGGACUCAACCUGUCACUACUGACUUUGAAGAUGGAAGGAACCUAAAAGCCAGAAACAGUAUGUGGCCUCUAGAGGACAGAAAAAGUAAGGAAGAGUUUGUUUUCUCCAGAGCCUCUAGGAAGGAAUUGGGCCCUGUGGACAACCAACUGGAUUUUAAACUGUGUAACAGCUCUGAUCUGCCAGCCUAUAGAAGAGUAAAAUGAUG